RNAcentral lists this ribosomal RNA (1021 nucleotides) under Falciformispora tompkinsii. RNAcentral's name for it is "SSU rRNA". It matches the Rfam family "Eukaryotic small subunit ribosomal RNA", at positions 75 to 1105 of the family's 1831-position model. Lineage: Eukaryota; Fungi; Ascomycota; Dothideomycetes; Pleosporales; Trematosphaeriaceae. The record is from RNAcentral.
UAUACCGUGAAACUGCGAAUGGCUCAUUAAAUCAGUUAUCGUUUAUUUGAUCGUACCUUACUACUUGGAUAACCGUGGUAAUUCUAGAGCUAAUACAUGCUGAAAACCCCGACUUCGGGAGGGGUGUAUUUAUUAGAUAAAAAACCAAUGCCCUUCGGGGCUGCUUGGUGAUUCAUGAUAACUUCGCAGAUCGCAUGGCCUUGCGCCGGCGACGGUUCAUUCAAAUUUCUGCCCUAUCAACUUUCGAUGGUAAGGUAUUGGCUUACCAUGGUUUCAACGGGUAACGGAGGGUUAGUGCUCGACCCCGGAGAAUCCGCCUGAGAAACGGCGAAUACAUCCAAGGAAGGCAGCAGGCGCGCAAAUUACCCAAUGCCAACACGGCGAGGUAGUGACGAGCAAUACUGAUACAGGGCUCUUUUGGGUCUUGUAAUUGGAAUGAGUACAAUUUAAACCUCUUAACGAGGAACAAGUGGAGGGCAAGUCUGGUGCCAGCAGCCGCGGUAAUUCCAGCUCCACGAAAAUGUAUUAAAGUUGUUGCAGUUAAAAAGCUCGUAGUUGAACCUUUGGCCUGGCUGGCAGGUCCGCCUCACCGCGUGCACUUGACCGGCCGGGCCUUCUUUUCUGGAGAACCGCAUGCCCUUCACUGGGUGUGUUGGGGACCAGGACUUUUACUUUGAAAAAAUUAGAGUGUUCAAAGCAGGCCUUUGCUCGAAUACGUUAGCAUGGGAUAAUAGAAUAGGACGUGCGGUCCUAUUUUGUUGGUUUCUAGGACCGCCGUAAUGAUUAAUAGGGACAGUCGGGGGCAUCAGUAUUCAAUUGUCAGAGGUGAAAUUCUUGGAUUUAUUGAAGACUAACUACUGCGAAAGCAUUUGCCAAGGAUGUUUUCAUUAAUCAGUGAACGAAAGUUAGGGGAUCGAAAACGAUCAGAUACCGUUGUAGUCUUAACCAUAAACUAUGCCGACUAGGGAUCGGGCGGUGUUUUCAUUUUAACUCGCUCGGCACCUUACGAGAAAUCAAAGUG